Molecule: non-coding RNA, 968 nt
Organism: Triticum urartu
Lineage: Eukaryota; Viridiplantae; Streptophyta; Magnoliopsida; Poales; Poaceae
Source: RefSeq, a predicted model, not a curated record
CCGCCCGCGCCUCCUCCGUCUCAUCUCCCUCCCGCGAUUCCCACCGCCGCCACCCCCACCCCAACCCACCACUGCCGACCACGUCUCCGCCACGCACCCUCUCCCCUUUCCUUCAUCCCGCAGAUCCACCAGUCUAGGCACGGUCACCACUUCACCACCCACGCCGGCGGAUUGCGGCAAGUCCAUGCAGCGCCCAUGGGGCGGACCCCACAACGGCGGCAAAAGCGACCGCGCCACCACUUCCCCUUCCCCGCCGCCUUUGCCCGCCCUGCAAGCUUCCUCCUCCUCCCCUCUCACCCAAGCCACCACCUGUCUAGAUCUCCCCAAUCUCGCCCCCGCACAUCCAGAUCUUGAGGCGGCUUAGGUGAGGCAGCGCAACCCGCUCCGUCCCGGAACCCCGUGGACUGUGGUGGUGGCGGCAGCGCCCGACCAGCCGGCAGCGGGAUGGCAUACGUGGACCACGCCUCUCCAUCACCAACGAGGACGAGGACGACCUGGUGGGCGACGCGGUGGGGGGACGACCCCGCGGCACGCCGUUCAAGGAGAUUACCUUCGCCGUCGUGCUCCUCGCGUUUGGCGCACUCGGCAUCGUCGCCGGCCUCGUCAUGGCCGCCCACUGUGUCUGCGGUGACCACUCCCACGCAAAUACCGAGUUGUAGUAGAACAACUUGGAGUUAGAAAACUUCAAGGACAAGAUCAACGAGGUGACCGGCGUUAUGGCGGCUGUGUAUGGCGGCGACCAGAAGUUCUCCGGAGCUCUAUGCAAAAGAAGCUCCACGUAAAAGCAGAUUGAAAGGAGGUCCAUGUUGAAGAAGAUUGACAGGAGUGGUAGAGCUUGUAAUACUAUAUUACUGUGAUUGCCAUUGUAUUUCUGUUGUAUGAUGUAUCUGUGUUUACCUAAAAAAAUGUAUCCGUGUUGUAAUACUGUUAUUGCCAUUCUAGUUAUUAUUUCAAACAUUGUUUUUUGU